This 2891-nucleotide long non-coding RNA is filed under the name Homo sapiens (human). Its description in RNAcentral is "non-protein coding LINC00847:4". The record is from RNAcentral. Lineage: Eukaryota; Metazoa; Chordata; Mammalia; Primates; Hominidae.
GUUGGAAAAUCCCACUUUACUUCAAGUGAAGUCACUGGGUUGUCCCCAUGAAAUAUCUCCACAAUGGGUGUGCUAGACCUUUACUCUCUGUGGCACCACCAAGACCCCCUCACCCUGCCAGAGCCCUCUGAAGUGUACUCAGAAUGGAGGGGCUGGAAGUGGGGCCAGUGGUCCUGGUAGUCAGCCUCCCCUUCUGACACAAGAAUUAUCGUGGAACAGCUUGUGUGACCGAUCAACUGGUCUCUCCAUCUUUAAGCCAUUGUCUUGUUGACUCUGUUACUGCAGAGUUUGGGGAGGUCUCAUGGCUUCUCGCAUCCUAUUUCCUGAGCUUCCCUGAAGCCAACUUCUGGCCACUGGUAUGUGAUGCGAGCACAGUGCCUCCUCCUGCUCCUCCAGGAAGCUUCUGCUGAUUGAACGCAGGCCAGAUGGCGAGAUCCGGAGCAACCUUCUUAGAUCAAGGGAAGAAAGGGGCACAAGAGGGGAGUAGGUAACAAGAUAAAAGGAGCUCCCUCCCUGAUGACUACAGAGCCAUCGUGGCAGCCCUGGGCCUCCAUUUCAGACGUUCAUCUUGCCUAAGCCACCACCAUCAGGGUCUCAGUCAGUCAUCAUUCUCAUUUACUCGGGUGGCUGGGUGAGGGCGGAAUACUACCUUCCAGCUGUCUGAGAUUAAGCCUAAGCCACCACCAUCAGGGUCUCAGUCAGUCAUCAUUCUCAUUUACUCGGGUGGCUGGGCGAGGGCGGAAUACUACCUUCCAGCUGUCUGAGAUUAAGCAGAACAGCAGCUAAAGCAGUAACAGCAGGUCUCCUUCAGCAGCUUGCCACAGGGAAGAGGGUCCCGCGUGAACCGAACUCAACUUCCACCUGCGCAGAGGUAGCUACCAUUUGCGUAGAGGUAGCUGGGUCUUUAAGGUUAGAGGGAAGGCGCAGGGAGGGAGAGACGGCGGGUGGGGGUUGAACAAAGUGGAGAUUCACAAAAGCAGACUAGGGCGGGCGACGUGAUCAGAUGACCUGUGCGGGCGGCAGCCUCCUGCCCUCCUCCCCUUCGUGCGCCGGCUGGAGCGAAGAGUUCUUUUGACAGCCGUGAGCUUCCCCGCCAGGAACUUACUGGGGCUGCAUCACCCUAGAAACGUGGCUUUGGGCUGUGGAAACGCUGCCUCUGUGGAAGUCUCUCCUCGCGGGGGUGGACGGGUCGCUGCGCGCCCAGCGUUCUUCUGCGGUUCUCACAGCCCGCCGCCGCCGCCGCCUCGGGGACCUUUGCGGGGAGGCCUCAGGGCACCUUCCUCCUCUCUCUCAGGCACGUCCUCGACCUCAGUUGCCACGUGCACAUGCUGGUGCCUUCCAGGUCGGUCUUUCUCCACCAGACUCCACCUGGAACUUUCUUCCUUUUCGUCCUGUGCUGGCCUAACCCCUGCUCGGCCUCGGCCCUCAGCUGCCGGCUCUAACAAAGCCUCUGUCUUUCCCAGACCCCUGUGACCAGGCUGGAGUAUAGUGGCAUGAUCAUAGAUCACUGCAGCCUCAAACUCCUGGGCUCAAGCGAUCCUCCCACCUCAGCCUCCAUAUAGCUGGUGGGGACCAAGUUUCUAACACAUGAAUGUUGGGAGACACAUUCAGACCAUCGCAGUGGCCUUAUAAAAAGAGACACAAGAGCUUGCUCUCUGCCAUGUGAGAAUACCACAAGAAGACUGUCCUCAGCAAAUCAGAAAGCGGGUGGACCCUCAUCAGACACCAGAUGUGCCUGCACCUUGAUCUUGGACUUGCCAGCCUUCAGAACAGUAAGAAAGAAAUGUGUGUUGUUUAAGCCACCCAGUCUAUGGUAACUUGCUAUAGCAGCCCACUAGGAGACCCCAAGAUAUUUAAAAACUCAUCAGCACCUGCUUUCUGCAUCUGGACCCUGAUCUUCUGGUGGGUUUACCAGUUACUUGUAGAGUGUCCCUGUGAUAGUUUUAGGUGUCAACUUGACAGGAUUGAGGGAUGCCUAGAUGGCUGGGGAAGCACUGUUUCUGAGAAGGACCAUGUUUUUGGAGGAGACUGUUUUAUGAGUGAAUUUCAGGGGACACAUUCAGAUCAUGGCAGUGGCAUUAUAAAGAGAGACACAAAAGCUUGCUCUCUCUCUCUGCCAUGUAAGACUACCACACAAAGACUGCCAUCUGCAAACCAGAAGCAGGUGGGCUUUCCUCAGACACCAGAUCUGCCUGCACCUUGAUCUUGGACUUGCCAGCCUUCAGAACUCUAAGAAAGAAAUGGUAGCAUGGCUUGGUCUAAGUUGGAAGGCCUGAGAAACAAGCACAUGGUGGAACUGAGUUCAAGGAUAAAGACUUGAGAAUACCUGCUCAGUGGACUGAGUAGGGAAGAUCAACCCUCAAUGUAGGCAGGCACUAUCCAAUCACCUGAGGGCCCAGAUGGAACAAAAAGGUGGAAGAAGGGUGAAUUCUCUCUUCCAGAGCUGUGACACCCUUCUCAUGCCCUUGUACCACACAACUCUAGGUCCUUUGGCCUUUGGACUCUGACACUUGCACCAGUGGCCCUCUGGGGCUCUCAAGCCUUUAGCCUUGAACUUAGUUACACCAUGUGCCUCCUUGUUUCUCAGGCCUUCCAACUUGGAUCAGGCCAUGCCACCGGCUUCUCUGAUUCUCCAGCUUGCAGAUGGUAUAUUGUGACCCUGGCAUUUAAUAACUAUGACUUUGGUCUUAAGCAAUUUUCUUCCUCUGUGGAUUGAUAUUUACAUAUCAAUGUGGAUAAUAAUUUCUUACCACGGUAACUGUUGUGAGGUAAAAAUGAGUUAACAUAAGUAAAACCGAGCACAUGCAAACCAUCCGAAAUGGUUAAUACUUACUAUUUGUACUUGAAGAAAUAAAUGUUUUUGACAAUAAACUUCUUGUGCAGUUUUCCUC